GACAGCAGCCGCCACGGUAAUACGUAGGGUGCAAGCGUUAAUCGGAAUUACUGGGCGUAAAGCGUGCGCAGGCGGUUUGUUAAGACAGAUGUGAAGUCCCCGGGCUCAACCUGGGAACUGCAUUUGUGACUGGCAAGCUAGAGUCUGGCAGAGGGGGGUGGAAUUCCGCGUGUAGCAGUGAAAUGCGUAGAUAUGCGGAGGAACACCGAUGGCGAAGGCAGCCCCCUGGGCCAACACUGACGCUCAUGCACGAAAGCGUGGGGAGCAAACAGGAUUAGAUACCCCCGUAGUCCCUGUCUCUUAUAC
This 306-nucleotide ribosomal RNA is filed under the name uncultured bacterium. RNAcentral's name for it is "partial 16S ribosomal RNA". It matches the Rfam family "Bacterial small subunit ribosomal RNA", at positions 507 to 807 of the family's 1533-position model. The record is from RNAcentral.